This 506-nucleotide ribosomal RNA is filed under the name uncultured bacterium. Its description in RNAcentral is "partial 16S ribosomal RNA". It matches the Rfam family "Bacterial small subunit ribosomal RNA", at positions 29 to 523 of the family's 1533-position model. The record is from RNAcentral.
AGUGAACGCUGGCGGUAGGCCUAACACAUGCAAGUCGAACGGCAGCACAGGAGAGCUUGCUCUCUGGGUGGCGAGUGGCGGACGGGUGAGGAAUACAUCGGAAUCUACUCUGUCGUGGGGGAUUACGUAGGGAAACUUACGCUAAUACCGCAUACGACCUACGGGUGAAAGCAGGGGACCUUCGGGCCUUGCGCGAUUGAAUGAGCCGAUGUCGGAUUAGCUAGUUGGCGGGGUAAAGGCCCACCAAGGCGACGAUCCGUAGCUGUUCUGAGAGGAUGAUCAGGCACGCUGGAACUGAGAGACGGUCCAGACUCCUACGGGAGGCAGCAGUGGGGAAUAUUGGACAAUGGGCGCAAGCCUGAUCCAGCCAUACCGCGUGGGUGAAGAAGGCCUUCGGGUUGUAAAGCCCUUUUGUUGGGAAAGAAAUCCAGCUGGCUAAUACCCGGUUGGGAUGACGGUACCCAAAGAAUAAGCACCGGCUAACUUCGUGCCAGCAGCCGCCGCCG